CGACAGAUCAUCAUGCCUGGAAUGGCCGAUGGUUGAAAUGAUUUAUCGCCAUAGGAUGGGACUGCCACCUAUCAGCUUGUUGGUGAGGUAAUGGCCCACCAAGGCUAUAACAGAUACGGGCUCUGAAAGGACAAGCCCGGAGAUGGGUACUGACACACCCACCCACGCCCUAUGGGGCGCAGCAGGAAAAAAAACUUUGCAAUGUGCGAAAGCACGACAAGGUUAAUCCGAGUGGUUCCUGCUAAGGGAACCUUUUGCCGGUCCUAAAAACACCGGUGAAUAAGGGGUGGGCAAGUUCUGGUGUCACCCGCCGCGGUAAAACCAGCACCUCAAGUGGUCAGGAGGAUUAUUGGGCCUAAAGCAUCCGUAGCCGGCUGUGUAAUUUUUCGGUUAAAUCCAUGCGCUCAACGUAUGGGCUGCCGGGAAUACUGCACAGCUAGGGAGUGAGAGAGGUAGACGGUACUCGGUAGGGAGGAAUAAAAUCCACUGAUCUAUC
This 496-nucleotide ribosomal RNA is filed under the name uncultured crenarchaeote. Its description in RNAcentral is "bacterial SSU rRNA". It matches the Rfam family "Archaeal small subunit ribosomal RNA", at positions 154 to 651 of the family's 1478-position model. Lineage: Archaea; Thermoproteati; Thermoproteota. The record is from RNAcentral.